GGGCGUGUAGCUCAUUUGGUAGAGCGCUCGCUUAGCAUACCCUCUGUAGAUCAUUUCAGGGGCUACCCUAAUGCGAGAGGUACUGGGUUCGAUUCCCAGCUCGUCCA
Molecule: transfer RNA, 107 nt
Filed under: Thermochaetoides thermophila DSM 1495
Lineage: Eukaryota; Fungi; Ascomycota; Sordariomycetes; Sordariales; Chaetomiaceae
Description: Chaetomium thermophilum var. thermophilum DSM 1495 tRNA
Rfam family: tRNA
About the family: Transfer RNA (tRNA) molecules are approximately 80 nucleotides in length.
Source: Rfam by way of RNAcentral